RNAcentral lists this transfer RNA (73 nucleotides) under Camelus bactrianus (Bactrian camel). It matches the Rfam family "tRNA". From Rfam's summary of the family: Transfer RNA (tRNA) molecules are approximately 80 nucleotides in length. Their secondary structure includes four short double-helical elements and three loops (D, anti-codon, and T loops). Further hydrogen bonds mediate the characteristic L-shaped molecular structure. tRNAs have two regions of fundamental functional importance: the anti-codon, which is responsible for specific mRNA codon recognition, and the 3' end, to which the tRNAs corresponding amino acid is attached (by aminoacyl-tRNA synthetases). tRNAs cope with the degeneracy of the genetic code in two manners: having more than one tRNA (with a specific anti-codon) for a particular amino acid; and 'wobble' base-pairing, i.e. permitting non-standard base-pairing at the 3rd anti-codon position. The record is from Rfam by way of RNAcentral. RNAcentral also lists the same sequence under 2 other names. Lineage: Eukaryota; Metazoa; Chordata; Mammalia; Artiodactyla; Camelidae.
GAGGGUAUAGCUCAAGUGGUAGAGCACAUGCUUAGCAUGCACAAAAUCUUGGGUUCAAUCCCCAGUACCUCCU